UCGCUGAACGCUUAGAGUCGACAUUGGCCUGAGCGCGCUGUGGUCCGCAGAUCAAACAAGUUCUCAGUCGACGCCUUACCCAAUCAAAAACAACAACGGUGUGUCACGUGUUACAUUUCACCCAAUACGAAGCAACCGCUCCUAAAAUUCGCCCCUCCUUCCAUCGGUUAGUGCAGACACCUCUCGUACUCCGAUUUAGCCUCUUUCUCAUUGAAAACUUUGCAGAUCUGGUCCGAAAAUACACCUGCAAGGUAUGUUUUCGCUCCUAUAAGCAUUCGUCGUCGCUGUACAACCACAAGAGGUUCGAAUGCGAGAAGAAGCCCAAAUUCAAAUGCGAAUACACAGGCUGUACUUUCAUAACCAAAGUGAAGGGAAACCUCACGGCCCACCACAAACGCCACGAAUAUAGACGAGAUUUCAAAUAAAACUUUUCCACGUCCGAGUUUUUUCUUUCCCUUUUUUUCCUCCCUUCUAAGCACUUAAUCUAACUCCGUCUUUUACAGGUAGGCGCCUGUACACGUGCCAACGAUGUUCGCGUUCCUACAGGCACUCCCAGUCUUUACACAGACACAAGAAAUUCGAGUGUGGAAAAGAGCCGCUGUUUCGGUGCCACGUGCCGAAUUGCCUCUUUGUGUCAAAAAUUAAAAGUAACCUAAAACAGCACCUUGUGCGACACACCAGCAAAGAGUGGCAGAAGGCCAACGUAGAAAAGAUUUAAUGUACAAGUUAGAAAUAAACUGUUGCUUAGAGUUGGUUUUUCUUUGAGGAUGACAUUUUGACUGUGCCAUUUUUAGGUAACCGACACACUUGCAAGAUGUGUGAAAGGUCGUACAAAAACAGCUGCAGUUUGGUGCGCCAUGUGACCUACGAGUGCCAAAAGCCGCCACGGUUCCAGUGCCACAAAUGUGGACACAAAACCCAUUACAGGUCGAACCUUGUCAGCCAUAUGGCGAAUAAACACUAGUUCAAACACUUUUUUUCUUCUUUGUUUGUUAGAUUGUGUGCGUUCGGGGCAAGUCUUGCUCGCUCCGCGAGCUUAAUUUCCAAUACAGCGUUACUAGAAAGAACUGAAUUGACUCUUGCCUUUUCAGGUGCACGGUACGUUUGCCAGCGGUGCAAGCGGUCGUACAAAAACGAGUGUAGUUUAGUGCGUCACUUAACCUACGAGUGCGAAAAGACCCCGAAGCUGGAGUGUCAUCAAUGCGGCCACCGAACCCGUUACAAAUCGAGUCUCAUCUCGCACAUGGCCAAUAAGCACUAGUUGUCAUUGUCUUGUCCGCUGUCAUUGCGCCACGUACUAACGGCCCCGUUUUUCAGGUGCUUUCAAGUGUGCCACCUGUGGCCGAGGCUACAAGGUGGCGAGAUCUCUGUGGCGCCACCAGAAAUACGAAUGCCAAAAAGAGCCGUCUUUUUCGUGCGUCAAAUGCGCCUACAAGGCUAAGCACAAGUCGAGCGUUUUGAAACAUAUGAUUAGUGUACACCCUGGUAUUGCCGAUGUGACUAAAUAUAAGCAUUUUUAAAUGUGCGGUACCCGUGCCCUAAGUGUUGCAAAUCGUACACGUUAAAGAGGAAUUUAAGCCGGCAUAUGAAGGUGGAGUGUGGGAAGGAGAAAAAUUUGAGGUGUUGCUACUGCGAGAGCGCGUAUUACUAUAAGCAGGAUCUGCAGAAGCACAUGACGAAGGUGCACAGCUAUAAGUUCGAGCAGGAGGGGUGCUGAGGGCACCCAGAAACGUUCAAUUUGACCCUUAUGCGACGAUUUUGUGGUUAUAUAGUGGGGCUGCUGGUCACUUUUUGGAGGGAAAAUUUGAAUUCAUGGAGUCUGCGCAAGACGAACUGAACCAGAGGCCCCACUAUAUAACUACUAGCAACCAAAGUAAUAACCCUGGGAAGUUCGCUCACGCGACAAGACUGUGUCGUGCAGAAAAGUGGUUAUUGCUUACGUGAGGGAUUUUUGUUCGUAGUAUAAGGUGCAGUUAAUAAAAUUGUGAGCGAUG
Long non-coding RNA from Zophobas morio, 1994 nucleotides. RefSeq lists it as uncharacterized. The transcript is spliced from 2 exons. The record is from RefSeq and is a predicted model, not a curated record. NCBI's taxonomy places the organism in Eukaryota, Metazoa, Arthropoda, Insecta, Coleoptera, Tenebrionidae.